AGGAAUAGUGAACUUAUCUGUUAUUUGGCAAGAAUGGCCCUUGGAUAUGUUAUUUCUGUUUUUUUUUUAUCUGGGUGUUUUAUGGAAGUAUUUACUUUCUUGUGUACACGUGUUGAUCAUCGUUUGGUUUAUCCGCUUCCGGAUCUUCCCACCGCCACAAAAUAUCUUUGGUCAACGUUAUCUCUCUUUUCUUCCACAAACCUCCCAUCGCUUUUUCGCCCCUGCUGUUUUUUGCAUAGACCGAUUAUUAGUGGCUAGCAACUCGACAUCGAGGGGAUCGCGGUGCCUAAAGAAGUUGUCGUGUUCGCCGCCAGUGCAGUCGUCGGUGCCACCACGAAGCGCUUCAGAGAGCUGCGUUCACCUACCAGAAAAACGCUUCAGAGAGUUGUGUUUUACUUCAAAGAAUCGAUUCGGUGUCUGCUCAUCGGAUCUACUCGGAGCUUUCACACAUGUAACUCGUAUGAAAUUAUACAAGUGAUUAUAGCGUACAAGACGUCCUCCAUCGUCUCACCGAUUCCGGUGUUCUCCAGCUUCACCGCCAAUCAGGCGAUCCUUGAUGCCUUCAUAAUCAAGGGGGCUAAGCGAGACUUUAGCACCACGAUUCUUGAGCGAAAGAAGGCGGCGAAUAGACUGACUGACUGGUCGUUGAUGAAGGCAUCAACAAUGAUAACUCCUUUGUUUCUCUUCAUCCCGAGACCAUGGAAAAGCUUCAACUCUUCAGAGGCGAUACCAUCCUGAUCAAGGUUCCUUUCUCACCAUCAAUAAAUUUCUGGUGGCACGCCAAGUGUUUGACAUUUUGCUUCAGUGAAGUUCAUCAUAUAUUUUUAUAUGGACCCUUGACCGGAUGACUAGCCUGUUCAGAUACUGGUACUGGAAGGAUUUGAAUGGUGAAGCAAUCCGAGCUUUAAGAGCUACAAAGGUUUUAGCGGUUCCAAAUGAUGCACUCUAUGGUUUUGCUUCUGAUUUGUGAUUCGAGCCAAAAUUGAUCGGCACCACCUGGGGUCGUAGGCUUUCUUUUCUUCCCUCCACUUACCCGAUUUGUAUCCAUUUUUCCUGUCGGAGCCGUCAUCUUGGGAUACUUCAUGUACUAAAAAGAUCUCAUAAAGCUCCUGUCAGCAGUCAAUGCAUUAAAUGCUUACAAUUAGGUCCGGGAGAGAUUUCCUUCACAACUAUAAAGGCCAGAUUCCCAUUUAUAAAAUAUUUAUUAUGAAAAAAGUUAGAUUUUCAUGAAAUUCAUAACAUUUAUUGUAAUUGUAGGUAUCUGGGUAGUGUGACAAUCUUUCAGGAAGCGUUGUGAUUGUCUAUGAAAUCAUAGCAUUUGCUCUGCUGGGGUUAACAAAAUCAAAAAGAAAAUUGCUAGGUCCUAUUGUUCUUGGAUCCUGGAUUCUAUUCUUAUUAUGGAAUCACAUUUUCCUAUUGUGUUCUCACUCAAGCUAUUUAAAAUUUUUUUGUUGCUUACGCAGAAGGGGUCGUGGAAUCACUAUGGUCGAUUGAUCAAUAUUUUGAGUUUGUUCUUAUGCUUACGUUCAAUACCCGAUUGUGUUUUCGGGUACUUAUUUGAAUUGGAAUCAGAAUCUACUGAAUGGUUUGAUUGCUUUGAUUGAUCUUGCUGCUCAUGCUACUGAUCACACACAAUCCGAAUGACUCAAAUUUCUUGAUCUAAGAACAUAUAACAAACUAGAAUUACUAAACUUCCCUUAUUUACUGCCAUACAAAUUUUCUUGGAGUUACAUGGGGUAGGUUGGGGGUAGAGAAUGACAAACAAAGCAUAUAGAAAUACCAAAAUUAUAAUUAAAUCUCUGUUACAUGUGAUAAUUUAUUUAUUAUUAUAUUUGAUUUCAAAGCUGUAAAUUUUUAAAGUACAAAACAAAAAAAAAUUAUCUUUUUAUUCGUUUUCAUAGAAUCAUACCUCUUUGUGUUGUAGUUGUUUCCCUGAUUGUAUAUAACUUUCCCUAAUUUUUUUUUUUGACGAAUGUUUUUUUAAUAAACGAUAUUUCAGCAACAACAUUGGACUUCUCCUGCAAUGGAAUCAACAUUACAUGCAACAAAUAAAACAAGCAUUAAAAAUGGCACCUCAGGUUGCUGAUGUGUAUUUUUCAAAAGCAUUGCAUGAUGUCGAUAUACAUGUGAAAACUUUCUUUUUAAUUUUACAUUUUGUUUCUAUUAAGGUUUUGACUUAUUUUUUUCCGCUCAAAUUGUGGUUUGCUUUCAUUCUUUUGUACCCUCAUGUUAAUACCGAUGGCCAUAUUGUUUAAAUGAGUGUCCAUAAUACAUUUUCUCUUCAAUUCUUAAACUACCCAUUGAAAUUUGGAGACCUUAUAAUGGUGUUAUUGAAACAUAUAACAUUUUACUUUAAUUCUAAUGUUAGGUGCAUGAUUUGAUCAUUCAAGGAAAUGAAAUCGAAGAAGACGAUGGAUGGAUGGGGUAAGUAUGAAGAUGCUAUUUCUGUAUUUAUUGUAGAUUGCAUUGUACUUUCAUUUAAAACCACCUGGAUAUAAGAUUGUAUGUUCAUUGUUUUCGAAAACCUAU
This is a long non-coding RNA of Lactuca sativa (garden lettuce), 2529 nucleotides long. RefSeq lists it as uncharacterized. The record is from RefSeq and is a predicted model, not a curated record. NCBI's taxonomy places the organism in Eukaryota, Viridiplantae, Streptophyta, Magnoliopsida, Asterales, Asteraceae.